UUCCUCAGUAGCUCAGUUGGUUUAGAGCACCUGACUGUUAAUCAGGGGGUCGCUGGUUCAAAUCCAGCCUGGGGAGA
Molecule: transfer RNA, 77 nt
Filed under: Candidatus Karelsulcia muelleri
Lineage: Bacteria; Pseudomonadati; Bacteroidota; Flavobacteriia; Flavobacteriales
Description: Candidatus Sulcia muelleri tRNA-Asn
Rfam family: tRNA
About the family: Transfer RNA (tRNA) molecules are approximately 80 nucleotides in length. Their secondary structure includes four short double-helical elements and three loops (D, anti-codon, and T loops).
Source: RNAcentral